AACACCAGCCUGGGGGCUGCUGCGGGAUCUCCUGGAGCGACUUGGGGCUGUCGCCACUUCAUCCCCACGGACUCAGGAGGACCCUGCCACCCGGACCAGGCUCGGGCAUCCGGAGCAUCUCACCCUUCUUGAGAAGUGCCUACCUCACGUGCCACCUCUGGGUUUCCUUCGCAAAGUCCCCCAAGAUGUAGAAUUUAGAAGAAGUAGCUCUGAGUUGAGCGGAACCUCUGAAGAAGGAAGCAGCGGCCUCAGCCUCUUACAGCUUCAAGAGCCACUGCGGGAAGGAGCCAGAGGGCUUCCCCAGGACAGGAUUAAAAUAGAUGCCAGCGGCCGCCCCGCGGACCCCGCAGCCAAUCAGCCUGGUGGUUGGAAUUGGGCAAGGGCAGCUGGAGCGUUGCGAAACAGGAGAUGCUUCCAGGCUUCUCUGAGUUUUUGAGAAGGGCGCUGGUUUCCUCAGACAUGUCUUUACAUGUUCUUCGGGAAUGAACCUGCAGUAGCCUUUCAGCCAGAAGUGAGGAUGCACAACAUGCUUGAACCUAAUUACAAGUUAAAGAUGAACCAAGGACAAGAACUUUAACCUGGCCACACAGCUGAAGGCUAGACUCCUGAUAGCAAACACCAGUAAAUCUUCAUUCUUGGCCCAAAGCAAACAAAAGAUAAACAGACAACCGUAGAUCAUCUGAAUUCCUUCCUGUCUUAGAGACUACUGAAUUCUUCACCAACAAGACAGCUCUUAGGUGACUGAAGGCUAAACCAACAUGUGGUCCUUUGUUUGCCAGAAAGUCAUGACAUGCUGUCACACCCAAGGCCCAUAUUGCCCUGAGAAGAGAGAAAUAAAACAUGCAAGGAAUGAA
Long non-coding RNA from Grammomys surdaster, 854 nucleotides. RefSeq lists it as uncharacterized. The transcript has 2 exons. Lineage: Eukaryota; Metazoa; Chordata; Mammalia; Rodentia; Muridae. The record is from RefSeq and is a predicted model, not a curated record.